RNAcentral lists this transfer RNA (87 nucleotides) under Candidatus Zymogenaceae bacterium. RNAcentral's name for it is "tRNA-Leu". It matches the Rfam family "tRNA". Rfam says of the family: Transfer RNA (tRNA) molecules are approximately 80 nucleotides in length. The record is from RNAcentral. Lineage: Bacteria; Deltaproteobacteria; Candidatus Zymogeniales; Candidatus Zymogenaceae.
GCCGGAGUGGUGAAAUUGGUAGACGCAGGGGACUCAAAAUCCCCCGACCCCCGGGUCGUGUCGGUUCGAUUCCGACCUCCGGCACCA